AGGAAUCGGAGGGAAAAGAUCC
This 22-nucleotide microRNA is filed under the name Monopterus albus (swamp eel). RNAcentral describes it as "Mal-Novel-4_3p (mature (guide))". Lineage: Eukaryota; Metazoa; Chordata; Actinopteri; Synbranchiformes; Synbranchidae. The record is from RNAcentral.